Molecule: ribosomal RNA, 917 nt
Filed under: uncultured Bacteroidota bacterium
Lineage: Bacteria; Pseudomonadati; Bacteroidota
Description: bacterial SSU rRNA
Rfam family: Bacterial small subunit ribosomal RNA
Source: RNAcentral
UUUGAUCCUGGCUCAGGAUGAACGCUAGCGGCAGGCUUAACACAUGCAAGUCGAGGGGCAGCAUGAGGAGGCAGCAAUGCCACCUUGAUGGCGACCGGCGUAAGGGUGCGUAACGCGUGAGCAACCUGCCCGUCACAGGGGGAUAACCGCUGGAAACGGCGACUAAUACCCCAUGGUCCUCGGAGGAGGCAUCUCCUUUGGGGUAAAGAUGAGAGUCGGUGACGGAUGGGCUCGCGUGACAUUAGCUGGUCGGUAGGGUAACGGCCUACCGAGGCUACGAUGUCUAGGGGUUCUGAGAGGAAGGUCCCCCACACUGGAACUGAGACACGGUCCAGACUCCUACGGGAGGCAGCAGUGAGGAAUAUUGGUCAAUGGGCGGAAGCCUGAACCAGCCAUGCCGCGUGAAGGAAGAAGGUCCUAUGGAUUUUAAACUUCUUUUGCCGGAGAGCAAUAAGGGUCUCGAGAGAUCCGAUGAGAGUAACCGGCGAAUAAGCAUCGGCUAACUCCGUGCCAGCAGCCGCGGUAAUACGGGGGAUGCGAGCGUUAUCCGGAUUUAUUGGGUUUAAAGGGUGCGUAGGCGGUCUGGUAAGUCAGCCGUGAAAAGUCCCCGCUCAACGGGGGCCGUGCGGUUGAAACUGCUGGACUGGAAUGCGGAUGCCGUGGGAGGAAUGUGUGGUGUAGCGGUGAAAUGCAUAGAUAUCACACAGAACACCGAUUGCGAAGGCAUCUCACGAAUCCGCAAUUGACGCUGAGGCACGAAAGCGCGGGUAUCGAACAGGAUUAGAUACCCUGGUAGUCCGCGCUGUAAACGAUGAUGACUAACCGUCGGCGAUAGAAUGUCGGUGGCCAAGCGAAAGCGAUAAGUCAUCCACCUGGGGAGUACGGCCGCAAGGCUGCAACUCAAAUGAAUUGACGGA